GCCCUUGUGGUGCAAAGUUUAAGUGCUUGGCUGCUAACCAAAAGGUCAGUGGUUUGAACCCACCCAAAGGCU
Molecule: transfer RNA, 72 nt
Filed under: Loxodonta africana (African savanna elephant)
Lineage: Eukaryota; Metazoa; Chordata; Mammalia; Proboscidea; Elephantidae
Rfam family: tRNA
About the family: Transfer RNA (tRNA) molecules are approximately 80 nucleotides in length.
Source: Rfam by way of RNAcentral